RNAcentral lists this ribosomal RNA (400 nucleotides) under uncultured bacterium. RNAcentral's name for it is "bacterial SSU rRNA". It matches the Rfam family "Bacterial small subunit ribosomal RNA", at positions 355 to 747 of the family's 1533-position model. The record is from RNAcentral.
UGGGGAAUUUUGGACAAUGGGGGCAACCCUGAUCCAGCCAUGCCGCGUGCGGGAAGAAGGCCUUCGGGUUGUAAACCGCUUUUGUCGGGGAAGAAACGGUCUGCGCUAAUACCGCGGGCUAAUGACGGUACCCGAAGAAUAAGCACCGGCUAACUACGUGCCAGCAGCCGCGGUAAUACGUAGGGUGCAAGCGUUAAUCGGAAUUACUGGGCGUAAAGCGUGCGCAGGCGGCUUUGCAAGACAGAUGUGAAAUCCCCGGGCUCAACCUGGGAACUGCAUUUGUGACUGCAUGGCUGGAGUGCGGCAGAGGGGGAUGGAAUUCCGCGUGUAGCAGUGAAAUGCGUAGAUAUGCGGAGGAACACCGAUGGCGAAGGCAAUCCCCUGGGCCUGCACUGACGCU